GCGCUGUGUUUUUACGUAAGUUCCGGAGCGCCUCCCUCCAUCAGAGCUCUCUUUAGCGAGGUAGUUUCACCUCGUGUGGGCUGCUGAAGCACACCGCAUUUCAGUUGUUUGAUCCUCCCAUCCUCCUGGCCCGACACCAUGGGAGUGACUUGUGUGUCUCAGAUGCCCGUGGCCGAGGGCAAGAGCGUCCAGCAGACUGUGGAGCUCCUCACCCGGAAAUUGGAGAUGCUUGGAGCAGAGAAGCAAGGAACAUUUUGUGUGGACUGUGAGACCUAUCACACAGCUGCCUCUACCCUGGGCAGCCAAGGUCAGGCCGGGAAGCUGAUGUAUGUGAUGCACAAUUCUGAGUACCCUUUGAGCUGCUUCGCCCUCUUUGAGAAUGGCCCUUGCCUUGUUGCCGACACCAACUUUGACGUGCUCAUGGUGAAACUCAAGGGCUUUUUCCAGAGUGCCAAGGCCAGCAAGAUCGAGACCCGGGGCACCCGUUACCAGUACUGUGACUUCCUAGUGAAGGUGGGCACGGUCACAAUGGGGCCCAGUGCCCGAGGCAUCUCCGUGGAGGUGGAGUAUGGCCCCUGUGUGGUAGCUAGCGACUGCUGGAGCCUGUUGCUGGAGUUCCUGCAGAGCUUUCUAGGCAGCCACACUCCAGGGGCGCCCGCAGUGUUUGGGAACAGACACGACGCUGUCUACAGCCCAGCAGACACCAUGGUCCAGUACAUGGAACUCUUCAACAAGAUCCGCAAGCAGCAGCAGAUUCUUUGGAUGGGAAGAGACCUUGAAAGGACCUCUAGUUUAUCCUGCAACUUCAGUCAAUAUCCCACUUAAAUCAUCCCAGAGCACGGGUUCUAGAACAUGAGGACUCAGUAGCUAUGGCACACGGGCUUAACUGCCCCGCAGGAUGUGGAAUCUUCCCAGACCAGGGAUCGAACCUGUGUCCCCAGAGUUGGUAGUUGGAUUCUUAACCACUGAACCACCAGGGAUGUCCUGUAUAAAAUACUUAAAACAGUGACUGACACCUAGGAAUUUCCUUAAAUGUAUGGUCUUGGCUGUCUUACUCAUAUUCCAGAAUGAGAUGCUGAAAAACUGAAAACUGAAUUUGCCUGAGUUGGGGCUUCUAAAAGUUAACUGGUGGUCUUCAUUAUAAGCCAGGUUUUUCCCCAGAGUGCUUCAAUCAUUGGCCUACAUUCCUGCCUACAACAUUUGGGGAACUGAGUGGGAAAAGAGCUGGGGAUAUCUGCCUUCAGGAUCUCAGUCUUCUUUUGAUCCCCGUCUUUUUAGACUGGUAAUAGAGACGAGGAAACCUAACCAAUGACUGUGGAGUAAUAUGGAA
RNA transcript from Bubalus bubalis (water buffalo), 1330 nucleotides. It is a transcript of the gene named mediator complex subunit 20, with no coding region annotated. The transcript has 9 exons. NCBI's taxonomy places the organism in Eukaryota, Metazoa, Chordata, Mammalia, Artiodactyla, Bovidae. The record is from RefSeq and is a predicted model, not a curated record.